Non-coding RNA from Paramormyrops kingsleyae, 955 nucleotides. Lineage: Eukaryota; Metazoa; Chordata; Actinopteri; Osteoglossiformes; Mormyridae. The record is from RefSeq and is a predicted model, not a curated record.
GUACGGCUUCGUGGACCGGGAAAGCCAUCUACUGUAGUAGCGUUGUGCGAAAAAUUAUCUUCAUAUAGCAAUCGCUUCAAGAUUCAUAGUUCGCCAUCAUCUGUGCGAUAUCUUAACGGACGUAUGCUGCACCGAGAUGGAUGGUAUUGUGGUGAUCAAAUUGAACUCGACAGUGCAACUCCACCCAAAAGCAGCAACCGUGAGGUACAUCGAUCACUUCCGGUGAAGUGAACGUGCCCGAAGUCGGCUUAUAUAGGACUUCCUGUGGAGCUGCGGAUGGAGCUGCUCUUAUUGGCUGCGUCUGGACUCUGGACAGUCUGGAGUCGGUCUCUUGGGAAAAGUGGGGCGAGGCUUCUUCGGAAACAGCCAAUUAAAAUGAAGAAUUGUUAUCCAAUAAGGAAAAACCACGGGAAACCAGUAGCCAAUACAGAAGCUAAUCGCAUUGUUAAACGCAUUGUUAAACGGGUUUCUUAAUUUGUUAUAACAUGUAAUGUUAGUGUGCUAAUAUGAUUAAUUAUGAUUAUGAUUCAUUAUUUAGGUUUUCCGUUUAUCCAGCGGCCCUGUACCAGCUUUUGGGUUUAAGCGUAUUCAACUCAACUCAACAAUGGUAUAAUCAUUCUGUCAAUCACUUGAUUAGAACCGAUGACUUUUUGUAAACGGGAACAGAUUCCUAGCCUGGAGAGCUACACACCGCUAUUUAACGUUUAUGUGAGAUAGUCCAGUAAAAUUCAUGGCGUAGCCGACUUAAAAACAUUUAUUCUUGAAUAUAAACUAAAAAUAUAUCCAGGUGGUCGAAAAAGCGAAUAUUUCCUAUGUUUGUGCGCCGCCUACCGGAUUGAAAUAGAACCAUUUUGCUGUGGGUAAGAACUGCAUAUCUUGUAAGUGUACUUAGAAAAACAUUGUAUUUUAAUAUACAGAAUAUUUUUCUGUGGUGAUUUUGAUGUUACAAUAAAUU